CAGAUUUUUAAAAAUUAUAUUGUUUUUUAAUACUUUUGAGUACUUAUGACAGUUUUGUUUUUGAAGUGAAAACUUCUUUAGUAUCGUAGUGAUUUGAAACAAGAUGAAACGAAAAAGCGACACGAAAAAUAAUUUGAUUAUAACUUCUUUGUUUUAAUAGAUAGAUAAAUUAAAUUUAUACUGUAGAUAGGUAAUUAAAUAAACUAUGACUGUGCAAUUUCAUUUUCAUUCAAUUUCUAUUAAUUUUCUAUUAAUUUCAUAUUCAAUAUCCUGAGAUAAUUAUCAUACAAUCAGAAAUUAAUAUUAUGUUCCGUCAAUAGAAAGCAUGAGAGAUAAUUGAAACAGGAGAUGUACCUAUAAUAAAAUUUUGUAGAUUCAAAAGUUGAUACUUGAUCAUCAAAAUACAUAAUAUUGUUUAAGUUAUAAUAAACUUUGCAUAUAAACAAACUCAAACCCACUUUACUGUUAACCCCACUAAAACUUUAACCCCACCCUUAUUCCUAUAACGUGUUACUCCAGUCAAAGCGUCAUUUGACCUUGCGCAGAGAGGCACUGUCAGUUUUUAUUUCAUGGAUUGAUAGGGGUAUAUUUAAAAGGCUUAAACCCAAUUUCUCACCACCUGAUCAUUCUUAUUAGCGGAGUUAUUCGCAAAAAUGCAUUUUUUGGGAUAUUUUACUUCUGAGCUAAUAUCUUUGCUCCAGAUUAUCGUAGACCAAAAAAUAAACAUACAUUCUCUUCCUUAUAAUAUUUUCUAUCGUUGUAUGUAAUUUCAUUGUAUUUGAGUGAGUAAAUACAAAAUGGCAGCCAUUUAAAGUCAAAUUCUUGUUGUUAAAAAACACAUUUUUGUCAUUAUUUCGAAAAAAGCUUAUAUCAUGAUUGACAUUUUUCUAAUUUAUUUUGUAGCCCUAUUCAUGUCCUGCAUUUUACAGAAAAAAUUUUCUUGCGGAAUGAUGCUUUCUUAAAAUUAUAAUAACUCGGCUCGUGUGGGACGUAGAGAGCUAAUUUUUUUUUUUAAUUGUAGAUAAUUUAAAGGACUUCAACAGUAAUUUAUUUUUUUAGCCAAUACUUGCACCGUUGCACCAAUAAUAAGGCAAGAGUUUGCUAAACAAAAAAACGUCUUUGACUUAAUAUUACUUAUUUUUUAUUUGUUUCAACAGAAAUAAUGUGCACCAAAUCGAUAGAAAAUGUUGUAACAAACAAUUAAUAGCUUUAUUUUUUGUCGUAGGACACUCUGAAGCCGAGUUAUUCCCAAAAAACGAUAUUUUUGGGUGUUUUCGCACCGGUUUUGCAUGCGUUCAUUUAUCAAUUGCUCGGCCAUCUUUGGUGAUAGAGAGAUGAUUUUUUCUGUAAAAUGCAGGACAUAAAUAGGGCUACAAAAUAGAUUAGAAAAAUGUCAAUCAUGAUAUAAGCUUUUUUCGAAAUAAUGACAAAAAUGUGUUUUUUAACAACAAGAAUUUGACUUUAAAUGGCUGCCAUUUUGUAUUUACUCACUCAAAUACAAUGAAAUUACAUACAACGAUAGAAAAUAUUAUAAGGAAGAGAAUGAAUGUUCAUUUUUUGGUCUACGACAAUCUGGAGCAAAGAUAUUAGCUUAGAAGUAAAAUAUCCCAAAAAAUGCAUUUUUGCGAAUAACUCCGCUAAUAAGAAUGAUCAGGUGGUGAGAAAUUGGGUUUAAGCCUUUUAAAUAUACCCCUAUCGAUCCAUGAAAUAAAAACUGACAGUGCCUCUCUGCGCAAGGUGAGGCCCUUUUUUCCGACGCUUUGACUGGAGUAUGUCCAAGAAGUAGUUUUUUAAAUGAUUAAAUGUAUUCAUGUGUACAACAAAAACAAAAAGAAGCAACAAGCACCAAACAGCAAACAAGGACCAACAAACAACCAAACACCCCAAUAACCAACCAAACAACUUAAUAACAAAAAAACAAACACCUAACAAUAAACAUGAAACAAUGAACAUCAGAGAAUAAACAACAAUUAACAAUCGACAGACAAAAAACAAGAGGCAACCAAACAAUUAAAUCGUUAUACAACCAAACAACAAAACACUUACAACAAACGAACAAUCAAACAAACAAUCAAACAAACAAUCAAACAAACAAUCAAACAAACAAUCAAACAAACAAUCAAACAAACAAUCAAACAAACAAUCAAACAAACAAUCAAACAAACAAUCAAACAAACAAUCAAACAAACAAUCAAACAAACAAUCAAACAAACAAUCAAACAAACAAUCAAACAAACAAUCAAACAAACAAUCAAACAAACAAUCAAACAAACAAUCAAAUAAACAAUCAAACAAACAAUCAAACAAACAAUCAAACAAACAAUCAAACAAACAAUCAAACAAACAAUCAAACAAACAAUCAAACAAACAAUCAAACAAACAAUCAAACAAACAAUCAAUCAAACAAACUAAACAAUCAAACAUACAAUCAAACACAAUCAAACGAAUAAUCAAACAAACAAUCAAACGAACAAUCAAACAAACAAUCAAACAAACAUACAAACAAUCUAACCAACAUUCAACUAUAUACAUAAAACACUAAACAUAAAACACUAUUUGAUUGCACUCAUAACCAUAGCAGCGAAGCGCUAUGCAACGGGCAAGUCGGCUAGUAUGUAUAUAAUACCAUAGCCUAUUUUUGCUAAUUUUGAAAAUCUCCAUUUCGCGAUUUGACCUUGAAAUCGCGACAAGAGGACAUGAGAUUUUUCUAGACUUUUGAGAUAUGUUAUAGAAUGGCAAAAGGAAGAUAUUGAGCAAAAAAAAUUUCUAUUAACAUUCAUUCCGAGAUUUACCCUUUUUUUCUCCUUAUUUGACUGUAUUAUUAGUGUUUUUUUUAUCAAAGGAAAUUUCUUUAAAAAUACUGUAUUGAAAAUACAGUAUUUUGCCGUACAGAAUUUUACAAAACAGAAUUUUGCAAGUCAGUAUUUUGUUGUACAGAAUUUUGUAUUUACAGUAUAAUGACGUACAGAAUUAUGGUCUUACAGUAUUUUGACCCUACAGAAUUUUGUCGUACAGAAUUUUGACAAGCAGAAUUAUGACCCGCUCCCAUUUUUUAAUUGUACUGAAAAUUUAAUUUGGAUUGUAUUGAAAUGGAUACAAUUGUAUUGAAAUAUAUUUUUCACACGAGAAAUUAAUAUAAAAUUUAAUUAAAAUGUUUUAUUUGCAAAAACUAUAAAAUUUUGCGUAGAUAUACAUUUCACUAUUUCCUGCGUAAAAGAGUAAUUUUUAUUUAAUUUCGGUAUAGAGCGGGCGGCGGCGGCUGCAGAAACGCUCAACUCAUCGAGCUAAAGAGAAAUUCACUUUUGUAGUAAAAGAUGACUCUGAGUAACUUCGAAAACCAGAGGUCUUCCCGUCCGCAUCCUGGCAGGAUUGGCGUAGCAGGGUGAAAUCGGGUGCAUUUUUUAGGCACCCUUCAACUCAUCGAGCUAAAGAAAAAAAUUGCCAUGGUGGUCUUAGACUCAAUUAGUGUAUCAAAAAACCACAGGUCUUCCUUUCGGUAACCUGGCAGGAGUGGCGGUAGGGCGCAUCAAAGUGGUCGAUUUUUAGGGCGCUCCUAACUCAUCGAGCUAAAAGAUGAAAUUGGUGUCAAAUGAAAGGUAGCAAUGUCUUCUUUAAUAAUUCAGAGGUCUUCCUGGCCAAAUCUUGGCAGUUUUUGCACGCGAACAGCUUUAAGGUUGGAAACGAUGAAAAUGAGUUUUUUGUUAAAGUCUUGUUUUUUGGUGUGUAGACCGGUGAUUUAAGAAAUUGUUUUGUUACCAAAUCAAAGAUAACAACAUGAAUUUACUAAAUCCAUAAAAAAAAUUAGGAAUAGAUUAAAAAUUUCUAAAAAUAGACCAUUAGAAUGUCAAAAAAUACCUAUAUUUCUAAGCAAUUAAUCAAAAAGUAUGCUCUGCAUUUUUAUACAUAGUUAUCGAACUUAAGACUGGGUUCCCUUUUUCAGCGAAGUCAGAUCUCAUGUAAAAGCAUUUGUGUGUAUUAGUGAAUGUGUUUCGCUCUCUCGCCAUCGAAUUCUCUGGUUUUUUUCUCUCAGGAUGUUGGUUAUGGUUUUCAUUCAUUGUCUCUUUGUGAGAUCGCCAUCGCACUCACGCGUUCGGGGUGGCAUGCAAAUGGAUGUAGGUAUACAUAGAUCUUUAUAUGCAUAUGGUGUUUGUGGACGAACACUGGUUUAAAAUUCAAUAUUUUCAUGAAAGAUUUCUGGAGUGUAUACCUAUUUAUUUUUGAAAUGAAAAAGAAACUUGUUUCCAUGUUGAUGUUGUGGAUGGCAUUUGAGUUUUUUGUGUAUCAGAGAAAUUUUUUGCAUUAUAAUAAUAAUUAUAGUUGUUCAGCGGAGAAGCAGGUAGAGGAUGUGUUAUGUGGGUGCAUUGAUAUAAUAUACUUGACAGUAUCCUUUGUGUAGUGUGUAUAAAAAUAUGAGUAGAUGCGCAGAAGGAUUGAUUUUCAGGUUCUUGCUUACUUUUGAGUUGUUCUUCGUUGAGAAAUUUUUUGUCUAGCACUCGCGCUGACAUGAAAAUGUAUGUACAUACAAUAUAUAGAAUGUUUAGGUUCAUAUGUGUAUGUUGUUUGAGGAUGGACUCGAGAUAAAUCUUGUAUGACAUUAUGAUCAUGGAGAAUGCCGCAAAAAAUGUCUCCUGAACUGAUUUUUUGAAACUUAGGCCUCAUGCUGAUUGCACUAAAUAUUUAGCCGAGAAUAAAUGUUGAUAGUUAUGAUUAUGACUGUGUAUAAAAUUUAGCCUUGAAUAAAUAUAGCUGUGUGAAUUUGGAUAGACCAAACAAACCAAGAUUAUUACCUAAUUAUUUUUAUGCAAAUACAUAUGUAGGUAUAUCAAUCCAAUUUACUUUCAACACCUUUUUAACCCUCUACUGCAUGAAUUAAUAUUAGCGGACGAAAAAAUUUAAAAAUGCUUUACAUGGGUUCUUUGGGUUGUUUCAAAACGGUUUACAUUAAAAAAAUUUGUUUAAAUUAAUUAAUUUAAAAAAUUUGUUUAUAAGCCAAAUUUGGCUUCGUAUGCAUUAAGGGGUAAGAAAUUUUACUAAUCAAGGGGCACGGUAGUGCCCAGCCAAGUUCUCUAGCAACUUUGGCACUACACCCUUAUUUACAGGAAACAACUCAGGCCAUUUUCGACCCCCCUCUAACUUAAACACCAAAGAUGCUAGAAAUUUCAAUUAUUGAGCUUGUCAAAACCAAACUCCUCACAAAAUUUCAGCCUUUUACGAUGAGUAGUUUCUGAGAUAUAGGGCUUCAAAAAUCGCAAAAACCGUAACUGACUGACUGACUGACUGACUGACUGACUGACUGACUCACUCACUCACUGACAGAUCAUCAAAAUUAUGGAGAACUUCCCGUUAACGUAGAAACUUGAAAUUUUACACGGUGAUAGGGCUUGUGGUGUAUACAAAGGGAAAAAUCGAAAAUUUGAGAUUUUCAAUUCAGGGGGCGUGGCAUCCGCCCAUUUCCGCUGAAUUAUCAUCAAAUAUUAUAGAGCACUUCUGAUUAUCGUAGAAUCUUGAAAUUUGGUAGAAUGGUAGAGAUGGUAGUUUAUACAAAGGAAAAAAUUUAAAAUUUGAGAAUUUCAGCCAGGGGGCGUGGCAUCCGCCCAUUUCCGCUGAAUUUUCAUUAAAUAUAAUAGAGCACUUCUGAUUAUCGUAGAAUCUUGAAAUUUGGUAGAAUGGUAGAGAUGGUAGUUUAUACAAAGGAAAAAAUUUAAAAUUUGAGAAUUUCAUCCAGGGGGCGUGGCAACCGCCCAUUUCCGCUGAAUUUUCAUUAAAUAUAAAAGAGCACUUCUGAUUAUCGUAGAAUCUUGAAAUUUGGUAGAAUGGUAGAGAUGGUAGUUUAUACAAAGGAAAAAAUUUAAAGUUUGAGAAGUUCAGCCAGGGGGCGUGGCAACCGCCCAUUUUCACUGAAUUUUCAUCAAAUAUAGAGAUUUUCAAUUCUACAGCCAUACCUUGCAAAAAGUAGUGAAAUCACAACAAAAACAUUACUGUUAAAAAAGGAGCCAAGUUCUCCUAUGUUGAAAUUAUGCUGGCACAAAAAGUACUGAGAUGUAAAAGUGUACCAAGUUCUAAAGUUUUGGUUCAAAUUCGUAUCAAUAAAAUUUUGAUUGUUUACUUGGAAAUUUUUGAAAUAACUUUAAAAAUCGGUAAUUAAAAGAAAAAUUGUCAAGAGAACAAUCAAAAUUUUAUUGAUACGAAUUUGAACCAAAACUUUAGAACUUGGUACACUUUUACAUCUCAGUACUUUUUGUGCCAGCAUAAUUUCAACAUAGGAGAACUUGGCUCUCUUUUUAACAGUAAUGUUUUUGUUGUGAUUUUAUUUAUUCAGAUUAGGUAAAGAAUAAAAUUAAAAUUAUAAAAAGAUAAAUAUUUAUCAUUUAAAAACAAAAUAAAGUAAAAUAAAUACAUUGCAUUACAAAAGGUUAAGAAUUACUUCAAACUUGGCUCAUUUUAAGCCAUGGAACCGAGAAAAGCAAUUUGUUUUUUCAGUUACAUAUAUUUUUUCUGGUUCACAUUCUUUCCACUGUCGAAGUAAGUCUUGCUCCAACAUUUUCACCCACUCCCAGAUCUUAAAAAAACUAAAAAGUAAUAAAAUGAUUGAAAAAUAUUAUAGGUGAGCCUCCCUCCACCUAAUUUUUUUGUAUUUACGCCCCUGGAAAUGGGGUUAACAUUAAAAAAAUGUCUCUAAAAACGAAGGGGCUCCAUUUCUGAAGUAAAACAUAGCUUCCAAGCAAAGUAAAAAUGUAAAGGAACAAAAUUUACAACAAAAAAAAUAUAACAAAUUUUGUAGAUUUAAAACCCCUUAAUGCAUACGAAGCCAAAUAUGGCUUCCGUACUUUUUGCCCUCCCAAGACCAGGCCAAUCAUUUUUUUUUUCAAUAAAAAUUGGUUCAUAGCAUACAUAAUAAGACAAUCCAUCAAAAAUAAAUUUUUAAUUCCACUUUUCUUUCCAAACAAACGCAGUAAUUAACACUUAAAGUAUGAAAAUAUUCUACACUUUCGAUUUCAAUGCACACGACUGAUCGACUCACCUGUGAUCAUAAAAUACACCUUUAUUUUGUGUCGGACACACGAAAAAACUAUCUCUAUGGGUUCUCAGAAACACAAAGAAGAGGAUUGUAUUGAAUCUUUACCAUUUUUUUGUUACAGAGAAGAGAAAAGUGCAUGUGCAUACAAAUAGACAAAACCAUAUUUGGCUUCGUAUGCAGUAGAGGGUUAAUAAAGAUUUUUUUUAGAGUAACCAAUGCAAUGAACUCAGUUCGUAACUGAAUCGAUUUUGUUUUUUAUUUACCUAUAUACCUACAUUAUUAGGAAACAAAAAUAAGGCAGCAUUUAUAACUUAUGUUACUUUUUUUUAGGGAAGUUUUCAAAAAUAACUUUCAUAUAACCUUUUACCCAUUCCCCCGCGAAAAUAUAACUAUUAUACCUAAAAUGGCAAAAAUUCUCUGUGGUAACCUACAAAAAAAAACCCGAAUCCGCAACAUAUAAACAAAGACAAUGAAAAACAAAAGGACAUAUUUAUAUUAUAUAACCCCGCACGCGCGAGUGUAGUAUAAUAAACAAUACAACCCAGAAAUCAACCUAAAUAUGCAAAUCAUUGUGCACAAGCACAUGUCGAAUGGCAAUACACAUUUUUACACACAAACAAGUGCAUACUUACCAAUGUACCCACAUAUCAAAUCCUUUACCUAUAUCCCCGCACGAGCGAUGUGAAUAUUACACAAUGCAAAGAAUUUCGCUGACAAAGAAAAAAAUCAAAAGUGUCAACUCGCACGCGCGAGUGCGAUAUUAUAAACACGAAAUACAUUGUUAGGAAAAACCCGAGCAUAGAGGAAGGAAUACCUAGAGUAGAGACGCGACUUCGGUUGGUUUUUCUCUUCCACCCUACAAGCUGCAAUGAGAGGAAAAACUCCACAGUGCUUAUAUGUGGUAGUUUUCCCGUGCAUUUUAAAUGGCACCAACACAUUCAACUGUGGAGUUGAGCUCAAAACAAUUAAAAACAAUUUAAGUGCUCAGUAGGAAAUAAAUUCAUAAAAAAAUAAUAUAAUAAAUUCAAAACACGAACCUUUUUUUUUAUUUCUGUACAUAUUUAUUGAAAGGUGGGUGUCUGGAGUGAGCUAUUUGAGCUAUUCAAGUUCAUGUACAAACCAAAAUCAUGUUUAAAUUCAAAAUUUGUGAGGACAUCUACUGGUGAAAGGAAGGUAUUAAACGAAUUGUACUCAUUGUAUAUAUAUUUCUAUAAAUAUAUAUACAAUGUUGUACUUUUCACACGUAUUCACAGAUAGGAAAACAAGAAAAAUAUAAGAGAGAUUAUCUGAAAUUAAAUUUGCGGGUGUUUUAGGUAAGGGGGGUACGAGUCGGCUCUCUAGGUAUUCCUUCCUCUAUGAACCCGAGAGUCAACAAGAACAAAACAACCCUUUUUGAAAACCAAAGAUAAUGAUCUUGCAAAUAAUAUCUACUAUCUAAUUACUCUCUGCAGCAUCUUCAUGAUUUCAUGAAUGAUUUCUGCCUGCCUGAGUGAGGAAAUAGGAAACAAAAAAAAAAGUAUUAUGUAAACACAAAAAAAAAAAAAAUAUAA
Long non-coding RNA from Episyrphus balteatus (marmalade hoverfly), 8568 nucleotides. RefSeq lists it as uncharacterized. The record is from RefSeq and is a predicted model, not a curated record. Lineage: Eukaryota; Metazoa; Arthropoda; Insecta; Diptera; Syrphidae. The transcript has 2 exons.